GAUGAACGCUGGCGGCGUGCCUAAUACAUGCAAGUCGAGCGAACAGACGAGGAGCUUGCUCCUCUGACGUUAGCGGCGGACGGGUGAGUAACACGUGGAUAACCUACCUAUAAGACUGGGAUAACUUCGGGAAACCGGAGCUAAUAUCGGAUAAUAUAUUGAACCGCAUGGUUCAAUAGUGAAAGACGGUUUUGCUGUCACUUAUAGAUGGAUCCGCGCCGCAUUAGCUAGUUGGUAAGGUAACGGCUUACCAAGGCAACGAUGCGUAGCCGACCUGAGAGGGUGAUCGGCCACACUGGAACUGAGACACGGUCCAGACUCCUACGGGAGGCAGCAGUAGGGAAUCUUCCGCAAUGGGCGGAAGCUUGACGGAGCAACGCCGCGUGAGUGAUGAAGGUCUUCGGAUCGUAAAACUCUGUUAUUAGGGAAGAACAAAUGUGUAAGUAACUAUGCACGUCUUGACGGUACCUGAUCAGAAAGCCACGGCUAACUACGUG
Molecule: ribosomal RNA, 497 nt
Filed under: uncultured bacterium
Lineage: Bacteria
Description: partial 16S ribosomal RNA
Rfam family: Bacterial small subunit ribosomal RNA
Source: RNAcentral